GAAAUGUUUAUAGAGGUUGUUAUGAAUUUACUCGUUGUUGUAUAAAUUUUAUAUGAAAUCCCAAUUUAAAUAGGAAGGGUGCACUCUGCAUGAAUUUCAAAAGAGAAUUGGGUUAAUAUUUCCGAACCGGGACAUGGUUGUGGACGACAAUGUUAGGAAAUCUGGAGAUGUCAUCGAGGGCCUGGGAAGAGUUAUAUUUUCUUUUUAACGACUUUACCACCCUGAAAUCAGUUCAACCGGAUAUAGGGUCCAACAUCUGGAAGAUCACCACACGUCUUGCGGUGUUUGGUUCCCCCUCAACAACCAUUGAAAAUAUGGAGAACCGGGUACUAUCCAUGCCCAAUCAUACUCAUAUCUGCCUCCUUGGAUU
Picea glauca (white spruce) is the source of this 370-nucleotide non-coding RNA. The record is from Rfam. NCBI's taxonomy places the organism in Eukaryota, Viridiplantae, Streptophyta, Pinopsida, Pinales, Pinaceae.